Molecule: long non-coding RNA, 803 nt
Organism: Rhododendron vialii
Lineage: Eukaryota; Viridiplantae; Streptophyta; Magnoliopsida; Ericales; Ericaceae
Exons: 2
Source: RefSeq, a predicted model, not a curated record
CUAAAUAUUAAUUUAUUUUAUUUAAUGUGGCUAUGUGUAAUUAAUUAUAUUUAGUAAUUAAGUAAGGCAUGGAUUUUUUUUAUAUAGAUGUGCAUAUAUGUGUGUAUGUGUGUUUGGUUGAUCGGGCUUGAGUUGUGUGCUAUGGACCAAGUGCGUGGGGGGCCCAUAUGUGAUGGAGUUUCUUUUAAUAUAAGCCUUUAGGGUUAACUAUUAUUAAUUGUUAGCUUUAUGGGUGUUAGUGUAAUGACUCAAAGCAUUAUAGAAGAUGGAACAAUAGUUUAAUUCUUGAAGGGGCCAUAGUGCAAUUUUGCACUUUAAAAGGCUGAAGUCAGCCGAGAACUCUCUGGAGUUCUGUUUUUCUUUUUUCUUUUUUCUUUUUUCCCUUUUUCCCGUUCUCUCUCUCUCUCUCUCUCUCUCUCUCUCUCUCUCAACUCUACCCAAACCCUAGACUUCAAUCCCAAAAUUGGAUGUCAAGAUUCGAGAAUAUCGCAAAAAGGGAAGAAAAGGACGUGAUCUACGGACAAAGGGCUACGCAUCUAUCCCAACAAUGUCGCAUUCGGCCAACUUUGGUGUUCCUAGCAUUUCGGGAUUCAGCUCUUUUGAGGUAAGGCGGUGGAUCCGAAGACAUGAUAGUUUUUGAUUUGUUAUAUUUUUUUUUUGGGAGCUUAGUUGAUAUACUUGUAUUCCACUAAUUUGAUGGUAAGAUUUUGGAAGUCCUGUGACUUGGUAUUCUUUUGAGUUUGUAAUAAAUUUAAUCACAUAUUUUGACUCUCUCAAAAACUUGAACGUGAAUACGCUUAUAG